CAUAGGCAUUGGAAUUGAUUCCAAGGAAUGUAUAUGGUUAACCAUGUGACCAAGCUAAAGUGUGGUCGGGAGACAAUGAUUAUGACAGGGACCUAGGGGUAGUAGAGAAAGAAACAUCAAUAUUGAAUAAAUUAAUGAAAAUCUUAGUAAAGAAUCACUAAUGUUGUGUUCGUUUCCAUGUAUUUACUGUUACAAGAAAGGAAAUGCGGGUGAUUGUAUGUUCGUAUUUGAUGAUUUACGGGCGAUGAUUUGCAAGAUAGCUAAAAUAUUGAUCUUCGCUAUUGAGAGAGGAUUUGCGAGGAUUUACGAGUGAAGUCUAUCAAUGAUAGAUACUUUUACAAAAAUGUCCAUAUAUUAUUUCACAUUGCAGGUGUAUAAAUUUGUGAUAUUGGUUCUAUGUAGUUCAUUAACAUUUUUUUUUCUUUAAAUUUAAUUUAAACUAAUU
Molecule: long non-coding RNA, 445 nt
Filed under: Vigna radiata
Lineage: Eukaryota; Viridiplantae; Streptophyta; Magnoliopsida; Fabales; Fabaceae
Description: long non-coding RNA (VRAD_LNC003495)
Source: RNAcentral